RNAcentral lists this ribosomal RNA (433 nucleotides) under uncultured bacterium. RNAcentral's name for it is "partial 16S ribosomal RNA". It matches the Rfam family "Bacterial small subunit ribosomal RNA", at positions 29 to 507 of the family's 1533-position model. The record is from RNAcentral.
AACGAACGCUGGCGGCAGGCCUAACACAUGCAAGUCGAGCGAGGACUUCGGUCCUAGCGGCGGACGGGUGAGUAACGCGUGGGAACGUGCCCUUUGCUUCGGAAUAGCCCUGGGAAACUGGGAGUAAUACCGGAUGAGCCCUCUGGGGGAAAGAUUUAUCGGCGAAGGAUCGGCCCGCGUUGGAUUAGGUAGUUGGUGGGGUAAUGGCCUACCAAGCCGACGAUCCAUAGCUGGUUUGAGAGGAUGAUCAGCCACACUGGGACUGAGACACGGCCCAGACUCCUACGGGAGGCAGCAGUGGGGAAUCUUAGACAAUGGGGGAAACCCUGAUCUAGCCAUGCCGCGUGAGCGAUGAAGGCCUUAGGGUUGUAAAGCUCUUUCAGCUGGGAAGAUAAUGACGGUACCAGCAGAAGAAGCCCCGGCUAACUCCGUG